Molecule: ribosomal RNA, 494 nt
Filed under: uncultured bacterium
Lineage: Bacteria
Description: partial 16S ribosomal RNA
Rfam family: Bacterial small subunit ribosomal RNA
Source: RNAcentral
GACGAACGCUGGCGGCGUGCUUAACACAUGCAAGUCGAACGGUGAAGCGCCUUCCUUUUUGGUGGGUGUGGAUGAGCGGCGAACGGGUGAGUAACACGUGAGUAACCUGCCCCCUUCUUCUGGAUAACCGCAUGAAAGUGUGGCUAAUACGGGAUAUUCUGGGUCUGUCGCAUGAUGGGUCUGGGAAAGAUAUUGUUUCGGUGGGGGAUGGGCUCGCGGCCUAUCAGCUUGUUGGUGGGGUGAUGGCCUACCAAGGCGGUGACGGGUAGCCGGCCCGAGAGGGUGGACGGUCACACUGGGACUGAGACACGGCCCAGACUCCUACGGGAGGCAGCAGUGGGGAAUAUUGCACAAUGGGCGCAAGCCUGAUGCAGCGACGCCGCGUGAGGGAUGGAGGCCUUCGGGUUGUGAACCUCUUUCGCCAGUGAAGCAGGCCUGCCUCGUUUGUGGGUGGGUUGACGGUAGCUGGAUAAGAAGCGCCGGCUAACUACGUG